AGUAAUGUAAGCUAAUUUAAGCUCUUAGGUUCAUACCCCAAAAAUGAAAGACAACCUUUCCUUUACUA
Molecule: transfer RNA, 68 nt
Filed under: Eptatretus burgeri (inshore hagfish)
Lineage: Eukaryota; Metazoa; Chordata; Myxini; Myxiniformes; Myxinidae
Also listed under: 1 other name
Description: transfer RNA-Met
Source: RNAcentral